AGACCCGAAACCCGGUGAUCUAGCCAUGGGCAGGUUGAAGGUUGGGUAACACUAACUGGAGGACCGAACCGACUAAUGUUGAAAAAUUAGCGGAUGACCUGUGGCUGGGGGUGAAAGGCCAAUCAAACCGGGAGAUAGCUGGUUCUCCCCGAAAGCUAUUUAGGUAGCGCCUCGUGAAUUCAUCUCCGGGGGUAGAGCACUGUUUCGGCUAGGGGGCCAUCCCGGCUUACCAACCCGAUGCAAACUGCGAAUACCGGAGAAUGUUAUCACGGGAGACACACGGCGGGUGCUAACGUCCGUCGUGAAGAGGGAAACAACCCAGACCGCCAGCUAAGGUCCCAAAGUCAUGGUUAAGUGGGAAACGAUGUGGGAAGGCCCAGACAGCCAGGAUGUUGGCUUAGAAGCAGCCAUCAUUUAAAGAAAGCGUAAUAGCUCACUGGUCGAGUCGGCCUGCGCGGAAGAUGUAACGGGGCUAAACCAUGCACCGAAGCUGCGGCAGCGAACGUAUCACCCAAGACAACUUUACGGAGUUGACGAUUGACGGAGCGAAGCGACGUCAAAGCGUUCAUUAAAGUCGAGUUGGCUUAGGGAUACGUUCGUUGGGUAGGGGAGCGUUCUGUAAGCCUGUGAAGGUGUGUCGUGAGGCAUGCUGGAGGUAUCAGAAGUGCGAAUGCUGACAUAAGUAACGAUAAAGCGGGUGAAAAGCCCGCUCGCCGGAAGACCAAGGGUUCCUGUCCAACGUUAAUCGGGGCAGGGUGAGUCGACCCCUAAGGCGAGGCCGAAAGGCGUAGUCGAUGGGAAACGGGUUAAUAUUCCCGUACUUGGUGUUACUGCGAAGGGGGGACGGAGAAGGCUAUGUUGGCCGGGCGACGGUUGUCCCGGUUUAAGCGUGUAGGUGUGUGUUCCAGGUAAAUCCGGUUCACUUUAACACUGAGGCGUGACGACGAGGCACUACGGUGCUGAAGCAACAAAUGCCCUGCUUCCAGGAAAAGCCUCUAAGCAUCAGGUAACACGAAAUCGUACCCCAAACCGACACAGGUGGUCAGGUAGAGAAUACCAAGGCGCUUGAGAGAACUCGGGUGAAGGAACUAGGCAAAAUGGUGCCGUAACUUCGGGAGAAGGCACGCUGACACGUAGGUGAAGUGAUUUACUCAUGGAGCUGAAGUCAGUCGAAGAUACCAGCUGGCUGCAACUGUUUAUUAAAAACACAGCACUGUGCAAACACGAAAGUGGACGUAUACGGUGUGACGCCUGCCCGGUGC
Molecule: ribosomal RNA, 1262 nt
Filed under: Salmonella enterica
Lineage: Bacteria; Pseudomonadati; Pseudomonadota; Gammaproteobacteria; Enterobacterales; Enterobacteriaceae
Also listed under: 1 other name
Description: partial 23S ribosomal RNA
Rfam family: Bacterial large subunit ribosomal RNA
Source: RNAcentral